RNAcentral lists this ribosomal RNA (157 nucleotides) under Fusarium oxysporum. RNAcentral describes it as "5.8S ribosomal RNA". It matches the Rfam family "5.8S ribosomal RNA". Rfam says of the family: 5.8S ribosomal RNA (5.8S rRNA) is a component of the large subunit of the eukaryotic ribosome. Lineage: Eukaryota; Fungi; Ascomycota; Sordariomycetes; Hypocreales; Nectriaceae. The record is from RNAcentral.
AACUUUCAACAACGGAUCUCUUGGUUCUGGCAUCGAUGAAAAACGCAGCAAAAUGCGAUAAGUAAUGUGAAUUGCAGAAUUCAGUGAAUCAUCGAAUCUUUGAACGCACAUUGCGCCCGCCAGUAUUCUGGCGGGCAUGCCUGUUCGAGCGUCAUUU